Long non-coding RNA from Odocoileus virginianus texanus, 640 nucleotides. RefSeq lists it as uncharacterized. Lineage: Eukaryota; Metazoa; Chordata; Mammalia; Artiodactyla; Cervidae. The record is from RefSeq and is a predicted model, not a curated record.
UGUUACCUAACAAGACCUGUAAUUAAACCUUAAAAGGCCAUUUCAUUCCUCUACCAAACCAACUGCUUCAGAAGUUAAGCCACAUGUUCCCAGCAGCUGUGAGUAGCAUUGCUCCCUGGGGGUCACAGAUCUCAGAAGCUCUUACCAGAAGUUCUUCAGCAGCUCCUCCUGAGAGUCUCAACAGGGUCUCAGAAACAACCUCUAAUGAGUGGACUUUUCUACAAGAGUUCAAAGGAGGAAACAGAAACCACCAUAAGCAUUCUUAAACAUGAGGAAAUUUCAUACAGGAAACUUUGUGCUUACAAGAGCAUUGCCAAGACUGAAGCAACAGUUUCUAAGCUGAGUCUCCUGGAAUAAUUCCUGGACCUGUACAGAACUGACUUACUAAAAGAGCACUACCUCUGAGGUCACAGCUGGGAAUAUGCCAGAAACAAGGUUCUCUGCCUUUGCCAAUACAGGCCAACACUCAGGAGGCUGCAAAAUGUGCUCGUAUUGCCUCAGCCUGCUACACCAGGCCAAGGUGUUAUACUCUUUGCUUGUCAGCAUCUAGGAAGCUGGAGUUGGGACCCUUCAGAAUCACUGUUGGCAAUCAUCAUAUCUCCUGAGUGUUGUUUGACAUUAGAGCUCAAAACCACAGGAA